RNAcentral lists this long non-coding RNA (3474 nucleotides) under Lynx pardinus (Iberian lynx). The record is from RNAcentral. Lineage: Eukaryota; Metazoa; Chordata; Mammalia; Carnivora; Felidae.
GGGGCACUCCGCCCAGACGGGAAGAGGCAGGUGACUCUGGAUGGGCAGGUAAUGGGCCGGCACAGGGCUGUAGGGUGGCCUGGGAUGGGCAGAAGGAGACAAGAAAGAGGCUGGAGUCGGGGCACGAGUAGGACAUGGGGAAGAGCCAUGGAGGUGGCAAGGACCGUGGGUUUAACUCUGCAGGGUAAUUGGGAGCAAUGGAGGGUAUGUGAGCAGAGGAGGGAUAUGGCGGGGUUCAGGUGUUCGUAGACUUCCCCUGGCUGCCAGGUGGGGGCCAGAUUGUGAGGGGCUGGGGUGCAAACGGGCAGGCCAGGGGUCGGCCAUGUCCAUCUAGAUGGGAGAUAAUAAACAACCCGUUAAGAGCAGUCUAAUUAACCCCCAUUUUACAGGGAAGGAAACUGAGGCACAGAGGGAAACUCUCCUGGCCAAGUCAGGGUGCAAAACCACCAAAUGUUGCGCCGCCUGGCUUCACCAUAAUUAACGCGGCCAGCUCCCUAACGGGCUGUCACAGUAAAGGCUGCAGUAAAGCUCUUUCACUUCCUGGCUUUCCUCUCAUUCGAAUUCCUUUUCUUAGGAAAAAUUUCCAGGCUUUUCCAAAGAUGGAAAAAAAAAAAAAAAAAACACCAAAAAAAAACCCCAGAAAACGAAAACAUUUUUUUCCCUGGCUCUCUGUGAGUUUCGCCCAAUUAUUUCCCCCUCAGACCAACAUGCACCGGACGUGAAUGGCUAUUUUCCAGCCGCCCUGGCAGCACGGAGGGUUUCUUUUUGGGGGACAGGGGGCGGGGGCUGGUUGUGUUGUUUUGUUUUAAGUUUUGGCACAGGCCCUGGCCCAUGGAUGAGUCUGCCCGGGGGCCGCACCCUGGGGAUGAUGACCGGGGUCAGGCCUCCGCAAGCCUCUCACACUCCCCACAGCUGCCCCAGCUUGACCUUCCAGAAGGCUGCCUCAGGUCCAAGUCUGGCGGGGAGGUGACCUACCGUGUCCACCUGCACAUGCUGUCCUGCCCGUGUAAGCCCAAGGCCACAAAGACCUUGCAGCUGAGAAGGUUCAUCAAUAUCUCCGGCGCCGCCUAUGACCUGGCUGUCGUCUCCCAGAAUCGCUUCGGCCCGGGCCCCAACCAGACGUGGCACAUUCCUGCCCAUGCCCACACCCACCCAGGUGUCUCCUCUGGCCGGGGAGGGCUGCGGGAGGGCCUCUGGGAUCUGAGAACCUACUCUGAGCCUCCGCCAGGCAGGGGGGCCGGGGUAGGGGGGGAGCGGGGAGGCAGGUGAGGCACAAAGUGAAGGGGGUGUCAAAUUUAAGAACGUGGCAAAAUCAACUAAUUAGGGCAUGUCAUGUUACAACGCAGUAUUUAAAGCAAACGCGCAAACAACAAAACUCUAGCUGGCAAAGUACAGCCCAGACCAACCACCUGUUUUUGUAAAUAAACUUGUACGGGGACCAGGGUGAGAUCAGGGUGUGGUGGGCGAGGCGGGCACAGGAUUGAUCCUAUCUUCACUUAAAAUCUUGAUAUCUGGGGCGCCUGGGUGGCUUAGUCAUGAAGCAUCUGACUUCGGCUCAGGUCAUGAUCUCACGGGUUCGUGAGUUCGAGUUCCGCAGCAGGGGAGCUCCAGCCCCGCUUCGGGGGAGCCCCGCUUCUCCCUCUGUCUUCCUGUCUCUCCCUCUCUCUCGCUUGCGCCCCCCCCAGCAUAAAAUAAAAAUCUUGAUGUUUGUUCAUUAUGUAUACAUAUACAUAAUUAAAUAUGUACAUGUAUUUAUACGUAUGAUGAAACAAAUCAAGAUUUAUAUUUAUGUAUACGGGCACGUAUGCGCACACACAUAUUUUAUUGAGGUGAAAUUCGCGUAGCAACACCAGCCACUUUAACAGGUGCGAUUCAGUGGCAUUUAGGACAUUCGCAGUGAUGCGCAACCAUCACCUCUGUUCGGUUCCAGAACAUUUCUAUCACCCUCAAAGGGAGACCCCGUGCCCAUCAGCCGUCACUCUCCAUCCCCCUUCUCCCCAGCCCUUGGCAACCACUAACCCGCUUUCUGUCUCUAUAGAUUUCACGGAAACGGGGUCACAUACCACGUGGCCUCUUGUAUCUGGCUUCUUUCACCAGCAUAACGUUUUCCAAGUUCAUCCACGUUUCCUUUUUAUGACCGAGGAAUAUUCUAUCGCGUGGCCGGGACCCCGGCGCAUCGACCUGUUCAUCCGCAGAUGAACACUUGGGCUGUUUCCACCUUUUGGCGAUUGUAAAUUGUGCCCAUCGCAUACUUUUCCGUUCAUGUUUUGACUUUUUUAGCUUUAUUUAUAUUUUAUUUUAUUUUUAAUGUUUUAUUGACUUAUUUUUAAGAGAGAGAGAAAGAGAGAGCACGAGUGGGGGAGGGGCAGAGAGAGAGGGAGACACAGAAUCUGAAGCAGGUUCCAGGCUCUGAGCUGACAGCACAGAGCCCGAUCUGGGGCUCGAACCCACGAACCGUGAGAUCACGACCCCAGCCGGACGCUUAAACGACUGAGCCACCCAGGUGCCCCUUGAUUUUUUUUUUUUUUUAAUAUCGCAUUUAAAACAACAUUUACCUUGACGACUGAGUUCUUCAGCGCCUCACAUUUUGUGCCCGAUUGUUGCCUCACUCACACCCCGGUCCCGGCCCCACCGAGCCACCCUGCAACCCUGUGAGCACAGGGCUGUUACCAUGAUGCCCAUUUCAGAGAUGAGACGACUGAGGCUCAGAUGGGUGAAGCCGCUCGCACAGCAGCGAGCCAGUCAGCUCCCGGCCUGGUUUGGGUCAUGGCCCCGCUGUGUGACCUUGGGUCAGUGGCUCUCCCUCCCUGAGCCUCCGAGUCUGUGUUAGUGGGGUGAUCACGGUCCCCCUUGGUAGCGAAGGAUAUAGCAAAGCCCUCACACGGGCCCGGCGCAUAUAGUCGGCGCUCAAUACGUGCUAGUUGUGGACCCCGGAAUUAGAAGUCGUGCCCACCUCCCCAAGGUUGUUGCAGACGCCCUUGCGGGAGGGAGUGGGAGAGAUGAGCCGGGAGCUGAGUGGAUGUGUCCUUGUGCCCAGGCCAGGAGGCCCAUCCGGCACCACACCCACCCGUCACUGGGUGAGGCAGGAGGUGGGUGGCCAGACAUCUGCUGGAACAAGAGAUGCUCCCCGGGCUGGCGGGGCGGGAAGGGGAGGGGUGCGCAUGCGUGUGUGUGUGUGUGUGUGUGCGCGCGCGUACAGGCGUCGCGGACGGUGGGCGUCUUAGCAGGGAACUCAUGGUCAGACCUGGAAACGACCGAACUUAUUCAAACAGCCCCUGGGCCCGGCUCCCAGCCCGGUGGCCCCCAGUGUGAGGACACAGAGCCAGGCGCAGAUACCCGCGGCCCCGAGGGGUUAGGGUUUGGCCAGAGGAUGGCACGGGGCUACGGGAGCCUUGGACUGGCGGGAGAAGGGGGCACCUGUUCUCACGUGGCUCUCUCCGCUCCUUCCAAAACCAGGGGUUCUGAAUAUCAGCG